CCGAGAUAGGGGUACAAGUCCUGCAGAAUUGCGUUCCUCUGGACUAAGCGAAGACCUGAUAAGGGUAGCGACGAAGCUCGGCGUGGUAAGGGGAGAGUGCCAGACGUGGUGUCUCCUACCACG
This 123-nucleotide non-coding RNA is filed under the name unclassified sequences. Its description in RNAcentral is "Flavobacterium-1 RNA". It matches the Rfam family "Flavobacterium-1 RNA". The record is from Rfam by way of RNAcentral.